Dreissena polymorpha is the source of this 253-nucleotide long non-coding RNA. RefSeq lists it as uncharacterized. The transcript has 2 exons. Lineage: Eukaryota; Metazoa; Mollusca; Bivalvia; Myida; Dreissenidae. The record is from RefSeq and is a predicted model, not a curated record.
UUGGAUUACUGCGCAUAAAGCGCAUGGUUUUGUGGUUCCAGGAUUACUAUUAUGUAAAAUAAAUGUUUUGCGUUGCGUUCGGGACGCAGAGAGUAAUGGCCGAACAGUUGUCAUUCAAGUACGUCGUUGAGGAAUGCGAAUCUGAGGAUCUGAAAGAGGCUGGCUCAGAUGACGAGGAAGCUAACUUGGAUGAGGAUGAAAAUAAUAAGAGAUUUGUAUUGUAUUCUAAAGAUUGAAUAAAUGAAUGCUUCUU